CGCGGAAAUCGAAAAGUCGAUUUCGGUGCGUUUUUCGACGAAAUUCGCCGAAAGAACGCGAUUUCGAUUCAGAUUUCUUCCGACGUCGUUUAGUUGCUUUGUUAGUUAUUGCUGAGCCUUGUUGGCUGGUCACCGUCAUCAUUUUGUGGGUUCGGUGAUGAUGGGUGAGCGACGGUGGGUUCCGGUGUCGAAAUAGAACUUUCGGGAACCCAGAUUCGUACAAUU
RNAcentral lists this long non-coding RNA (225 nucleotides) under Ananas comosus (pineapple). Its description in RNAcentral is "long non-coding RNA (ACOM_LNC014721)". The record is from RNAcentral. Lineage: Eukaryota; Viridiplantae; Streptophyta; Magnoliopsida; Poales; Bromeliaceae.